This is a long non-coding RNA of Scophthalmus maximus (turbot), 370 nucleotides long. RefSeq lists it as uncharacterized. NCBI's taxonomy places the organism in Eukaryota, Metazoa, Chordata, Actinopteri, Pleuronectiformes, Scophthalmidae. The record is from RefSeq and is a predicted model, not a curated record. The transcript is spliced from 3 exons.
CAAGUUAUGAUGCAGUUCAUGGAUAGCGUACUUCUGCCCUACAUUGCCACUGGGGCUCCACAACAGAUCUUACUUGAGCCCAGAUCUCAUUGUGGAGCAAACAUCAGCUGAACGGCCCCUCUCCCCUCUCAGCAGCGAUCCUUCCCGUUGAUGGAGAUGGCAGAGAGCAGUGCCAAUGGUGAACUAUCACAAGGCUUCCUUGUGUCAAGGAACCUCAAAAUGGAAAGCAGACAGACCGAGAUCUUCCUGUGGAUGAGAGAAGGCAGAUGGACACAGAGGAGUGUGAAUCACCGGUGUUGUGGAAGAAACCUCUCCUAACACUCCACUGCUUCAGCCUGGAACUGCUCAUCACUCUUAAGGAGUGGAUAUG